Cryptotermes secundus is the source of this 1756-nucleotide long non-coding RNA. RefSeq lists it as uncharacterized. NCBI's taxonomy places the organism in Eukaryota, Metazoa, Arthropoda, Insecta, Blattodea, Kalotermitidae. The record is from RefSeq and is a predicted model, not a curated record. The transcript is spliced from 3 exons.
AGUUGAUUACAUUUUCUUCAAAAAGCCUAAAAAUAUUAGGUUUCAUUUGUUGUAUUACACUUUCCUUUCCUACUAUCUAUAGUCUUACAGUUUUGUAUAGUGCUCUAGUUUGAUCGAAAUUUGAAUACACUUCUAUCACCUGGAACACCAUCAAUUGACUGAUUCAUCUAAACUUAAGGAAUUCAAAGAGAAUUUGCAGUCUUAUGUUCUGGCAGAUUUCUUAUCGGCACUUGUGAUAAUAGGUGUGAUGACAUAUCAAUUAAAUACAAAUUUCCAACGCCCAAGUCCAGGCAGCAAUUCCUUUAUGCUUCAUUUCUCAUUAGUGUCUUUAAGAAACAAACUUGGUCACUCAUCCAUUUUUUGAUACUAUUAGUUUAAUGCGUACCUACUAGGUCAGAGACUUCAGCUUUCAAUGUUUGCCAGUGUGAAGAGGCUAGUCCCUCAGCCAUAUGUGUUUCUGUAGCUGAUGUCUGCAGAUACAUUGAUAUUAUUAACAGAGGGUUCUCUUCUUUCACUGAUAUUACUAACUUUGUUCUUCUUCAGAUCCCUAUUUUCAAUGUUUAUGUUUUUAGUUCUUAAUAUUGUGUUCCUUUGUAUUUUCUUCUCUCCUUUGUCUCUUCGUGUCUUCUGCAUGAAUAUAGCUUUCUCUUUUCAGUGGCUAUAUAUAAUUUUCAUUUGCCUGUUCUCAAGCAUUUUAAUAAAUGAGUUGGUAUAUAUAAAUCCUCUAAAAGGGAGCUGACAGUGGAAGGAUCAUUUCAGUCCCAAGUCAUCAACAGUUUUUGAUUUAAAAGGAAAUAAAUGAAUGAAGUGUCCCUGUGUUAAAAUUUACUGAACACUGUGUGUUAAGAACUACUUAGGACUGCUUUAUAUAAAUGUUACAUUUUUUUAGGUCUCAGCUUUCAAGACUUGUCUGCCUGGUUACCCAGAAGCCCCUUCAGCUAUUAAAAUAUCAAAGUCAACUAAAGGCGCACAUUUCUCAUGGGAGCCACCACCAAGCACACCUGGAGAGAUAAUUGAGUAUUCAGUGUAUCUUGCAGUGCACAGACACUUCCCAGGCUCAGGGUGAUACAAAAACAGUGUCUACAACACCAACACAGCUGGCUUUUGUUCGUGUAUACUAUGGUCCAACUAACCAGUGAACUGUGCCAAACUCAUCACUCUCAGCAGCGCAUAUUGACGUAACAACAAAGCCAGCAAUCAUCUUCAGAAUUGCUGCUAGAAAUGAAAAAGGAUAUGGUCCUGCUACCCAAGUAAGGUGGCUCCAAGAUCCAUCUACUCAAGUCAAGAUGCCAGUGGGUAUGAAACGUCCAGGUUUAGAUAGCAAACCGAUGUCUCCUGCGAAAAGGAUGAAAAAUGAAGAUUCUAUGUCUUGAAGUGAUUGAGUGUGUAUGAAAUAAAAUAUUUUAAAAUAAUUUUAUUUGCAAAACAUCUGGUUUCUAAUUGAAGCUAAGUGUGUGUGUGUGCAUGUUAUGUCAUGUUGACAGACAUCUUGGUAGUGACUGAUCUGCAUUGAGCAUUUUGUUCAUCUAAUCAAACAUUUUAAUGAACUCAUUUUUGCAGUCUUUUCUUUUUACCAAGAUUCAGAUUCAUUCGGUUUUAAAUUACAGCUAGCCAAUACUGCUGCAGUAUACUCUUUUGUUUCAUGAAAGUCAAGAAUCUUUAGUUAAUUUUCUGCAGCUUUUUUCUACCCUAAUAUUUUUUUCAUUGAAGUUAUGUAAGCCAUAUUUGUUAGUUUCAAAUAUAUACCAUUAAUUUC